RNAcentral lists this ribosomal RNA (268 nucleotides) under unidentified marine bacterioplankton. RNAcentral describes it as "partial 16S ribosomal RNA". It matches the Rfam family "Bacterial small subunit ribosomal RNA", at positions 45 to 339 of the family's 1533-position model. The record is from RNAcentral.
UAUGUAUAAUACAUGCAAGUCGAGCGCUCACUUCGGUGAGAGCGGCGAACGGCUGAGUAACACGUUGGUAUCUACCUCGCACUCAGGGAUAGCCCACUUAACAGUGGAUUAAUACCGGAUAGUCCCGAAAGGGUAAAGAUUUUUCGGUGCGAGAGGAGCCUGCGGCCUAUCAGCUAGUUGGUGGGGUAAUAGCCUACCAAGGCUUUGACGGGUAGCUGGUCUGAGAGGAUGACCAGUCAGAAUGGGACUGAGACACGGCCCAUACUCC